Molecule: long non-coding RNA, 734 nt
Filed under: Rattus norvegicus (Norway rat)
Lineage: Eukaryota; Metazoa; Chordata; Mammalia; Rodentia; Muridae
Description: long non-coding RNA NONRATT019769
Source: RNAcentral
UUCUUCUAUUUCUUAGAGUAAAGAUGUACACAGAAAAAGGUCCUGAAAAUCAUUCUGUUGGAAGUAGUUUGUGUGUGUUUUCAGAUGGCAAUAAUAUUGACAUGGAUCCAAAAUAAAAGUGUUAGCUACAAAAGUAAAUUAAAGCAUACAUGUAAAUAAAAAUACAGAACUACAAAACAAUUGUGCUCCUUUCUUCAUAGGAAAUUGGAGAAAUUGAAAUGGUUAAAACCACAUGUAAAAAGACUGAGUCUGACUUCCACCAAUGUCAUUUAGAGAGGGAAUUCUAUGCCAUAAAGCGGACUCCUGGAGAAACAAUGUACUAUAUAUCAUUGCCUGGAAGAAUCAGAUGCAGGAAGUUCCUGUCUAAUCUGGGCAAAUGUCCCUUCCAAGAACAAACAGAAGAACUGAAGAGAGAAAUAUGUUACUUUCAACUGUAUCCUGAUUAUUAUGAGCAAAAUAUGAAUGCAGUAAGAUUCAAUUGUUAUACUGAAUGAGACUCUGAGCCUGACUGGACUGUUACCCACCACUUGCAGACGUUGAUUAUAGUUCUGGAACUCUAAUAUGGAAUCACCCUUCAGUCUGGAUGCCAGAGUCACAGAGACAUGCAGUCCAGUUAUGUACACCUGAACAAUUGUCUUCCUUUUACUUUUCACACACUUCUUUUAAAUGAACCAUUGUAAGCCUCCCAUGAAAAACCUAUGCUUUGCUCAAUAAAGGUACUCCCAAUCCUCUUG